UACGUAGGGCGCAAGCGUUGUCCGGAAUUAUUGGGCGUAAAGAGCUCGUAGGCGGUCUGUUACGUCCGCUGUGAAAACCCAGGGCUUAACCCUGGGCUUGCAGUGGAUACGGGUAGACUAGAGGCAGGUAGGGGAGAAUGGAAUUCCCGGUGUAGCGGUGAAAUGCGCAGAUAUCAGGAGGAACACCGGUGGCGAAGGCGGAUCUCUGGGCCAUUACUGACGCUGAGGAGCGAAAGCGUGGGGAGCGAACAGG
RNAcentral lists this ribosomal RNA (253 nucleotides) under uncultured bacterium. RNAcentral's name for it is "partial 16S ribosomal RNA". It matches the Rfam family "Bacterial small subunit ribosomal RNA", at positions 524 to 776 of the family's 1533-position model. The record is from RNAcentral.